AAUGAACGCUGGCGGCGUGCUUAACACAUGCAAGUCGCACGAGAACGCUUCAGCUUGCUGAGGCAAGUAAAGUGGCGCACGGGUGAGUAACGCGUGGGUAAUCUACCUCUGAAUUGGGGAUAACAUUGCGAAAGCGGUGCUAAUACCGAAUAAUAUCAUCAGGGCCCCGGCCUUGGUGAUCAAAGGUGGCCUCUACAUGUAAGCUACUGUUUAGAGAUGAGCCCGCGUACCAUUAGCUUGUUGGUAGGGUAACGGCCUACCAAGGCUGCGAUGGUUAGCUGGUCUGAGAGGAUGAUCAGCCACACUGGAACUGACACACGGUCCAGACUCCUACGGGUGCAG
Molecule: ribosomal RNA, 342 nt
Filed under: uncultured Pseudomonadota bacterium
Lineage: Bacteria; Pseudomonadati; Pseudomonadota
Description: bacterial SSU rRNA
Rfam family: Bacterial small subunit ribosomal RNA
Source: RNAcentral